GGACCCGCACAAGCGGUGGAGCAUGUGGUUUAAUUCGAUGCAACGCGAAAAACCUUACCUACUCUUGACAUACUUGGAAGCUCUUGUAAUGAGAGUGUGCCUUUUGGAGCCAAGAUACAGGUGCUGCAUGGCUGUCGUCAGCUCGUGUCGUGAGAUGUUCCGUUAAGUCGGAUAACGAGCGCAACCCUUACCCUUAUUUGCCAGCGAUUCGGUCGGGAACUAUAAGGGGACUGCCGGUGAUAAACCGGAGGAAGGUGAGGACGACGUCAAGUCAUCAUGGCCCUUACGAGUAGGGCUACACACGUGCUACAAUGGGGAAUACAGACGGACGCUAAGCCGCGAGGUGGUGCUAAUCCUAGAAAGUUCUUCGUAGUCCGGAUUGGAGUCUGCAACUCGACUCCAUGAAGUCGGAAUCGCUAGUAA
This 423-nucleotide ribosomal RNA is filed under the name uncultured bacterium. RNAcentral's name for it is "bacterial SSU rRNA". It matches the Rfam family "Bacterial small subunit ribosomal RNA", at positions 917 to 1341 of the family's 1533-position model. The record is from RNAcentral.